RNAcentral lists this unclassified non-coding RNA (264 nucleotides) under uncultured fungus. RNAcentral describes it as "sequence contains ITS1, 5.8S rRNA gene". The stretch from base 216 to 264 matches the Rfam family "5.8S ribosomal RNA", at positions 1 to 49 of the family's 154-position model. Lineage: Eukaryota; Fungi. The record is from RNAcentral.
UUUCCGUAUGUGAACCUGCGGAAGGAUCAUUAUCCAACCAAAACCAGGUGCGGUCCUGGCCUCCAGGUGAUAACCUGGGUGGUUUCGCGCCGCAUUCCUGCACCCUUUUUUUACGAGCACCUUUGUUCUCCUUCGGCGGGGCAACCUGCCGCUGGAACUUAAUAAAACCUUUUUUUGCAUCUAGCAUUACCUGUUCUGAUACAAAUAAUCGUUACAACUUUCAACAAUGGAUCUCUUGGCUCUGGCAUCGAUGAAGAACGCAGC